GGAAUGCGAUAAGUAAUGUGAAUUGCAGAAUUCAGUGAAUCAUCGAAUCUUUGAACGCACCUUGCGCUCCUUGGUAUUCCUUGGAGCAUGCCUGUUUGAGUAUCAUGAAAUCUUCAAAGUAAAUCUUUUGUUAACUCAAUUGGUUUCUACUUUGGUAUUGGAGGUCUUUGCAGCUUCACACCUGCUCCUCUUUGUUCAUUAGCUGGAUUUCAGUGUUAUGCUUGGUUCCACUCGGCGUGAUAAGUUAUCUAUCGCUGAGGACACUGUAAAAGGUGGCCAAGGUAAAUGCAGAUGAACCGCUUCUAAUAGUCCAUUGACUUGGACAAUACUUUUAUGAUCUGAUCUCAAAUCAGGUAGGACUACCCGCUGAACUUAAGC
RNAcentral lists this unclassified non-coding RNA (378 nucleotides) under plant metagenome. Its description in RNAcentral is "partial contains 5.8S ribosomal RNA, internal transcribed spacer 2, and large subunit ribosomal RNA". The stretch from base 1 to 105 matches the Rfam family "5.8S ribosomal RNA", at positions 50 to 154 of the family's 154-position model. The record is from RNAcentral.